Molecule: long non-coding RNA, 1715 nt
Organism: Arachis duranensis
Lineage: Eukaryota; Viridiplantae; Streptophyta; Magnoliopsida; Fabales; Fabaceae
Exons: 5
Source: RefSeq, a predicted model, not a curated record
CUAAAAUUUUAAAAUAAUAAAAACAACUGAACCUGAAACUGUGAAACGUCUGCCCCCUCUCACCAUCUCACUGCUUUCCCUCACUCAAACUACUCUCUCAUCGCCUUAUUUUCUCUGAAUUCUGAGAACUACGCACCAAUCAUUCCAUCUUCAUCGCUCGAAUUUCUUCUCACUUUUCAUCUCAGUCUGAUUUGCGAUCUGAAUCCUUUUCUCUUCCAACCUAGCUUAUUUUUUUCGUAAUUUUAUAACUGCAAGUUCAGAAAUUAGAGUUUACCUAAUUUUGAUUCAGAAACAAAGGUUCAGAAGAGAAGACAUAGCUGAUGUCUAGAUCUGGUAGCAACGCCCAAACCUCUGAGAUCGAGAAAAAUCGCCUCUUCGCGAACGAAGAUGUCGCUAUAACACUGCACCGCCGCCGGUCUUGCGCGUAGACGGACAAGAUCGUCACCGCCGAGCAGCUAAGUGAAACAAUUAUGAUUGAACUUUUGCAUUUGUGUCUUUAUGCAUCCGACCUGUUCGACGAAAUGCUUCAUCCAUCUAAGGAAAUCAAGCACUUUUGUGGAUCUUCAUGGCUGGUCAAUUUCUAGGGUUCUUCAUCAUCAAUGUGCCUAUAUCAUUGGUUACAUUGCUUUGCUACUAUGACUCAUCUAUGCACUUGUCACCAUGUGUUAUGGAGAGAUGUUUGACUUCAUGGAAAAGCAAGUUGAAGAUGGAAAUUAAAGAAAAUCAAGCAAGGCGUUAACACUUUAGUUUAGAGAAUUAUUACUUUUUCGUCCUAAUUACACUUUGUAAUUCUGUCAAUUUAUCUUAAUCAGCUACUUGUACUAAUUAAAAAAAAAGAAGAAGAAAAAAGAAGGCAUAGAGUACAAAAGGAGUUCCAUUUUGAAUUUGCCCAUUGUUAGUUAGGAAUAUCUUUAAGAAAGUUACUUAAAUUUCCUGUUGUUUGCUAUUGCCAUAUAUUUGUCUUAUACAAAGGAUUGCACCUCCAUUUUCUAUGUGUAUUGGAAUUUCUGUCAUGUCUUUAUAUCUUUGAAGCUUGCCACUAUCUCCUUUUAACUACAAAUACUAAAAGAAACUAUAGUCUGUGAAUUAUUUUAUUAGAUUAAUUGCCUUUCAUUUUUUUAUUGGAGUAGAAGUGCAUGAUUGAUUAAUUGUUAACUCCUGAACAGAGUAGGGUACUCAUCAUCGACUGGGAAAGAUUGGGGAUGGAAUUCAUAUUUAGAAGAGAUUGUCUAAUCUCUUACCAUUUGCCCGUAGGAGUUAAGGCUGUGACAUCCUUUUCUUCAAAUUCCAGCUUUCUCACAAGCUGAUAUUGUCCCUCAAGCGGGCUUCACUUGGUCCAAUAAUAAUGGUGAAAAUACUGGCAUCGAAUUAGCUUUCAUGGCCGCAGCCAAGGGUUACAAGGUCAAAAUUACAAUGCCUGCUUCGAUGAGUCUCGAAAAAAGAAUCACUCUGUUGGCUUUUGGGGCUGAGUUGGUUCUGACUGACCUUGCAAAGGGAAUGAAAGGAGCCCUUCAGAAGGCUGAAGAGAUUGUGGCUAAGACUCCCAAUUCCUACAUGCCCCAGCAAUUUGUGUAUAUAAUGUAGAUUUACUUUUAAGUCCUUUCUUUUCCUUGUAGUAUUUGUGUUGUUUAAAUUUGUAUUAUGUUUUAUUACUUUUCAAGAGAAAUUUUUGUUUAAAUAUUUUGAAUUUAAUAAAAUAUUCCAUUUUGUAGUAA